CAGUCGCCGCGGUAAAACGGAGGAUCCAAGCGUUAUCCGGAUUUAUUGGGUUUAAAGGGUGCGUAGGUGGCCUGUUAAGUCAGGGGUGAAAGACGGUAGCUUAACUAUCGCAGUGCCUUUGAUACUGACGGGCUUGAAUACACUAGAGGUAGGCGGAAUGUGACAAGUAGCGGUGAAAUGCAUAGAUAUGUCACAGAACACCAAUUGCGAAGGCAGCUUACUAUGGUGUCAUUGACACUGAGGCACGAAAGCGUGGGGAUCAAACAGGAUUAGAGACCCGAGUAGUCCCUGUCUCUUAUAA
This 301-nucleotide ribosomal RNA is filed under the name uncultured bacterium. RNAcentral's name for it is "partial 16S ribosomal RNA". It matches the Rfam family "Bacterial small subunit ribosomal RNA", at positions 509 to 809 of the family's 1533-position model. The record is from RNAcentral.